Molecule: non-coding RNA, 9483 nt
Organism: Equus caballus (horse)
Lineage: Eukaryota; Metazoa; Chordata; Mammalia; Perissodactyla; Equidae
Source: RefSeq, a predicted model, not a curated record
GCCAGGGGGCGCUGUGCGGGCGGCGCGGCCUCGGGCUCCCUCCUGCUCCCCUGGGGAGCUGAGGAGGGGUGGGGGCGACCCUGGCCUGACCUCUGGGCGGCGCAGACAGGAAGGAAAGGUGCCCUCGCUGUGCAAGGGUGGCGCGUCCCCUCCCCCAGCAUCCUCUAAGCAGUCCCCUCGUGAGCCACUUGGGGGGCGCGUGCGUACUAGGGCCACCCCCCCUCCCAUCUUCCCAGCUAGCCUGAACGAUACAACUGGGCAACAGAGGGAAAACAGUGUUCGCCCGGGCCACCCCCAAACCUGGCUGGGCUGCCUAUGGACUGUGUGACUUUGGUUAACCACAGGUCAUCCCCAUGAGACAGAUGCCAUUAGAUGCAGUUUAGAGAGGAAGAAGCUAAAAUUGAGGGAGGUGAAGGGACUUGCGCCAGACCAGUGAAGUGUUAGGUGUCGAGUCGUGGGCUGCAACUGGGAAAGCACAUACUAAGCAUGGAGUUUGCCUGAAAAACCUAACUUCUUGAACCCAGCUCUGCCCCUUGGAUUGCUCAUGACCCCACACCAUCUUGAACUGAGCCCAACGGCAGGAUCACUCAGUGCCGCGAGGCUCGAGCUCAGCGCAAGCCGCCCCACUCCAGAAGGGUGAGCAGGGAGGUGGGGGCCUCUGAGGCAUCUUCCCAUGCUGGGAAGCCGACAUCCUGCACGUCACAGGAGGCGGAGCCAGAACAGGGCUGAGUAUCCAGCGAGGGCAAUGGACCCUGGGAGGAGAGAUGGAGCUGGUUUGGGAGGACAAAGGCUCUGGGGGGCUGGGCUCCCCCAUCCACCCAGGGCCCCACCUCCUGCUGCUUUAUUCCAUUCUCUGCGAGACCCAGAGCUCGGUACUAAGGACAUGAGGUUGUCUCUAGGGAGGCCGCUGCUGCUGCUGGGAUCCUGACCAUAUGCAGCCUGAGCCCCUGGUUCCCCAUGUGCCCCAGGCCAUCCAGGGAUUGGUCUGGGGACUCAGACCUGGCCUUCGUACCCUUCUACAGGAGUCUGGUGGCUCCUCCUGACAUCCCCCAUCCUGGUACUAUCUCAAGGUGUGAGCUCAGCCCUGGGCAGCUCAGGAAAAGGUAGCAAUGGGGACGGGGCAUCUUAGUCACAGGUGUAGCUCUGGGGGGCUAUGAUCAUCAUUCGUUCAUUCUCUCAUUCAUUUAUUCAUCCAUGUACCAAACGGUGACUGAACACAACUGAACCAGGGCCUGAGCUCUGGGGAGGCCGGGAGCUCUGGGGGUCAGUGACCCAGUCUGCUGCUGGGGGUCAGGAAAGGCUCUGCAGAAGAGAGGUCUUUGAGGUGAGAGCUGAGCCACGAGGGGGAGUCCAGCAGCUCAGAGGAGGGUGUGAGGGUCCUCCGGUGGGCAGUGUCACCAGGUGAAGGAGCUGGGUUCUGCGUCGGCUAGAGCGGGGCAGGGCACGGAGGGCAGGGGAACAGGAUGCAGCCUGUGAUUCUGAGCGUCCGCCUGGCGCUGGAGUGAAUUCGGGCCCAGAAGGGGCGACAGGGAGCAGGCAGAAAGCUGAGAAGCCAAAGGCAUGGACCUGGUGGGAGAGGUCGGAGGGACGGAGGCCAGGCGGGCUGCGUGCUGGCAGGUGGCCUGCGACCCCGCCUCCCUGUUCUCGCGCCCUCUCUGCUCCUGUCCCCUUGAAUCUGGGCUGCCCUGUGACCUGCUUUAACCAACAGGAGGUGACAGCAGUGACUCUGGACCAGUUCUGGGCCUAAGUCCUAAGGAGGCUGGGCGGCUUCUGCUGGUGUCCUUGUGAGCAGUGGGACUGUCCUGAAGCCGCCAUGGUCCAGGAAGCCCAACCCAGCCGUACGGAGAGGCUGCACAAAGCACUGUGGUCAGGACCAGCAACCGCGGCUUCCAGCCACAGGACCGAGGCGCCCUGGAAGUGGGUCCUCCGGCGGAUACAGGACAGCAGACAAGCUGUCCCUGCUGAACCCCACCCACUGCACAGCCGUGAGCAAAUAAAAGGGUCAAGUCACUAAGCUUUGGGGUAGCAUGUUCCGCAGUCACAACCGAAACACUGGGACUAAGACCUAACCCUAACAGCUACCACUGCCUGGCCCCGAUGGCAGGCCGGGCUAAGGGCAUGACCUUCCAUUAGAAUUCGAGCAAUCCUAUAUAUUCGUAUUGGCAUCAUUUCCACUUUAAAGAGGGCAACACUGAGGCACAGAGAGGUGAAGAAUUUUCACAAGCUCACACAGCUCAUCACUGGCUGAGCUCAGACUGGAACUCAACCCGGCUUGUUUCGGAGCCUGUGCUCUUUAUGACUCUCUGGCGGAUGUUUUGGAGGAAGGGACUGCACUUGGCGAUGAAUUCAGUACCCCAGGGCUCUAAGGCCCAUCUGCAGGUGAGACUUGCAGUAAAAGAGACAGUGUCAGUAGCGUGCUGGACGGGGUCUGGCGGGAAGGGCACGUGAGCUCAGCUCACUGCUCUGUUAGCUUUUCAGAAUGAUGUCUGCUUCCUGGCGGCCUGGGCACGUGGCACAGGGAGUUUCUUGAAGAUGAAAGCACUUCGUAGGCCGCUUAUUACAAAACCCCCCGACACCACUGGUGCUAGGAGCUCAUAGACAGGGUCUCGCUUACUUUUCACAGCGGCCCCGUGAUGGCCAUACGUUAUCACACUCAUUUACAAGUGAGAAUGUGGACACCUGCCCUGGGUAUGCAAGCUCUCAGGGUCACACGGUUCAUGGGAGCCUGGACUGGAAUCUGGGCUGUCUGACCAGCCCCCUGCCCCCUACAGCUGAGGGUCUCCACCUGGGCCUGCCUCCCCUUCUCUCAUCCUCUCCUCCAUCAUCGUUCUCAUCUGUGUCAGGGGUUGGGCCGAAAUCCAGCGUGCCCACGCCAUAUGAACACCGCCAUCGGCUCAUGGACAUCCUGGAGUUGGAAGGGACCUCACAUGUUAACACGGCCUCCUUGUCGUUCAUGGGAGAUCAGAGGUCCAGCAAGGCUGGAUCCACUUCACAUCAAGCGUUUCUUGAGGGCCUACUAUGUGCCAGGCACUGAAAGGUGAGUCAGUGACAAGUUUGGGCUACCCACCAUCAACUUCAGCUUCUGCUCUGUUUCAGUUUCUGAAACGAGAAGCAGAAAUGGGGCCUCUCAAGCCCCGUCUCUCAAAAUAUGUCCUGUGCGCUUUCCCCACAGUGCAUGGAAGCCAACUAAUUUGGAUUUAGAUGUCUGGUUAAACAUGUUAACUAGCACCCUUCUCCCCAUAUUAUCCCUCAUCAAUAGCACCGCUAUUGUUAUUCACUUUACAGACUCAUUGUUCUGGUUUCUUUUUUUUUUUUUAAAUAAAGUGUGUGACUCUGGGGAAGGUAGAUUCUGUUUGAAGCAAGCCUACACUGUUUUGUACUAGAAAAGGCUAUGGAUUCUAUAAGGACUGCUAUGCUUUUUCUUUUCUCUUAAUGAGACUUAAGUUUUAUUUCUCUUUUUCCUUUGGCUGCCAGGGAGCUCAGGGAAAAUUUAAAGUUUGGCUUUGGCAAGUACGAAGGCCCUAAAGCAGGCCUUCCCAUUUCUGCUUUUGUUUCCUAAUUUGGCUUUUCUACUUUUAUUUGCAUUUUCUCAGGUCCUUGAUUUUAAACAAUUAAAAUUUUAAAAAAUUAUUACCAUUGUGUUAUCUUUAUUUUAUUCUAAGUGAUCUCCUUAGAAGCUACUUCCAAUCCUUUGUGGAAUAACACAGGAGUAUAAGUGAAUAAGUGAAUGUAACACAUUCUAUUUUAAACCAGGAGUCGGUAAACCUUUUCUAAGGAGCAGAUCAUAAACGUAUUUAAGCUUUGCAUGCCACAUGGUCUCCACAGCAACUACUCAACUCUGCCCUUGCAGCAUGAAAUCAGCUAUAGACAAUACGUAAAUGAAUGGGUGUGGCUGUGUUUCAAUAAAACUUUAUUUACAGAAGCAGGUGUAAGACAGAUUAGGCCUGGGGCCUUUCUGUAGUUUGCAGCCCUCUGUUUUAAAAGAAUUUCAGAGCAUUGGGAAGUUGUUCCCUCUGCAGCUGGGAAGAACUUGGCUUAGAAAAGAAGUGAAUUUCCAUCCCCGGGAGGUGGGAAUCCUGUCCAAGAUGUCUGGUUUCCACUUCUGGGUGAUGGAUGGGGGAAGAGCAGCCGCACACGCUGUCUGGACAGUGGGCUCUCGAGAGGGGCUGGCGGUGCCCGGGAGGGGUCAGGCCCCGAUGGCGCGGGCUCUGAAGACUGCCAGCGCGAGCCUCCUGUCCUGCCCACUCGCGGUGCGUGCUCCCUGGGGGGGAGGGGGUGCUGGGGGCAGGACCCUGGAGGUGCACGGCCGGCCGGUUCCCUUGCUCGGGCCAAUGGGCCUCGGGCUGCCGCGGACGUGGUUCAUGGAAGGAAUGUGUCUGCAGUUCCAAAUUCCCACAGAGAAAGACAAGGGGGACCGUUGGGGAGAAAUUCCUGGGCCACAUUUUUCUUGCUGCUCAUGUGGCCUGAAGCCAUUGAACUUGGCCAGACUGCCCAGAGAGGGAGUUUACAAAGCCCAUUGUCCUUUGCUGAGCCUCACCCCCGCCCCUGCUCCCACCUGCUCUUUCUGUCUUCCUUUCUUUCCUCUCCCACCGCCAGGAGAAGUGCAGCAUGGGAAAGAGCAGGCGGCCCCAGCAUGGGCUUCCGCUCCCUGCCCCAGACCGAGGCCAGAACCCUAUUACAAUCCCCAUUUUCCUGCUGGGGAAACUGAGGCACAGAGCUGCUCAGUGACUUACCUGGGGCCCCGCAGCUAGUAAGUGGAAGAGACAGGAUUUGGAUUGAGGUGUCUGGCUCCAGCGCGACCCUUACCUGUCACUCUCGGUGUGUGACCCCUCAGCUCAGUAUCCCAUUUACAGAUAAAGCCCUAAGGGCGUGUCACCGCAGUUCAGUUCCAGCAACAAUUCAGGGGACAAAGCAUUUGCACAGAUAGGCCCUGCGCCCUCUGGAGGCUCCCAGCACCCCCGAGUGCCACAGAAGCCCAGCCCCUCCACCAGGAGCUAGGCCCGCUUAGCUGGGAGCACAGCACUGUGAGCUGGGGGUAACCAGUCCCCCUUGCUGUUGUCGCCAUUGCUGCCGCAGCUGCGGACGGUGCAAGGGGGGGACCUCAUUACCGGGGAGCCUUUGAGAGUUUGCAAAGUGCCAGCCCCUCGGCUUGGCGACUUACGUGCACUAUAUGUCACUGACAUGGCAACCCUGGGAGGGAGUGUUGACAAGCCUGUGUCACAGGUAAGGAAACCAGCACAUUAACGGGCUGAUGGAUGCUCGCUGCUGUGACGCAGGGCAAAUCUCAGUGGAUUAACCCUAUAAACACUUUCUUGCUCAGGUCACCACCUCUUGUGGGCCAGCACGAAAGGGAGGAGGGAGGGGGCUCUGCUCCAUGUGCUCACUCGGGGACUCAGGCUACUUCUAGGAUCACAGCGUCCUCCCCUGGAUCCCUCCCGUCUGCUUGUCAGAGGAGGGCAAUGGGAGCGGGAGAGGUCAGGGGGUUUGCGGGGCUGCGAGUGGCCUGUGUCGCCGUCCCACUCACAUUCCACUUUCCAGAGGGCAGUCACGUGGCUGUCUUCCUGCGGGGGAGGCUGGGACGCAGAGUCUGUCUGCAGGGCCCUAGGAAAAGGCAGGGGGUUUGGCUGCCACCCUGGGCUUCAGAGCAGUGAGGUGCCGUGAGGGGCUGUGGAGACGUUUGAUGCCCAAGCUUGUGUUUUGCCACCAGGCUGCCUUGACUGGAACGGAUGCUGAGCUGUCUGCAGUGAAUUCCAGCUUCCAGCAUCUUGAAAGACCCUCGGUCCUUCCACGGGGCUGGGGAUGGGGCUGAAGGUCCCGAGGGCUGUGAGGAUGAGCUGGGACACGAAGAGCUUGACCCGGUAAAUGCCCCACAGGCUGUCCCUCCUAGCGCUGCUGCAGCCAGCAGUGCUGGGCAUGGGGAGGGCUGGACUGAGAGGAUUUCAGCCCCGAGGAGAGAGGUGGGGGCGGCCGAGUCCACAGGAAGGAGUUCCAGCACGUGUGCUUGCUGCUGCCAGCUGGGUGGGAAGGAGAAGGCGCAGGACCACCCGCUUCCCAUGGCUGGUUCUGGGGAGAAGUGUCCAGGCCACUUCUGUCCGUCUCGAUGCCCAACAGGCAGCUGAGCAGAAGCUGGCCGUGACCAUGUGUCUAAAGCAUGGACACAGGGAUGGGUGAAGCUCCUGUCCCCCAGGGUUUUGCUGUGGAAGCAGCAACUCCUCCAGGAUGUUCUGCCCAGGCCUUGACAUCCUGCUCAGUCCGGAGGGCUCCCUGCCACGUAAGGCAGAGCCUCUGGGUACACUGUGGAUUCCUGUACCUAGUUACUCCCACAGGACGCUGGGAUGCCCGGGACGAUGGGCAUGGGGUGGGCCCCCUCUAGCUGGCCUUGGUGGUGGCAAUGAGAUUCCAGCUGGACGGGGAUGUGCUGCUGAGCUCGACAGAAGUGCCCCCUUGGGAGGGAGAGGCCUGGCAGUCUCUCCAGAGACACAUAGGACCUCUGGCACAGGACCGGCUGCUGAGGGACAGGGUCCACAAGCUCCUAGUGCCAUCCUCUGCCAGGUCACACACAGGCGCGCACACACACACACACACACAGACAUACACAAUUUCCAGGGGCCUGUUGGUUUCCGAUGGCUGGGUCAGACCCAGUUCUAGUGUCUGAUAACUCCCCAGGACCACUGCGCCUCACCUCCUAUUUACUCAGUACCAGCUGGGGCUCAGUCACCCUCAAAGCCUCUCCUUCUGUGGCCUCCACACCCUUCCUGCACCCAGGUCUGGGUCCACCCAACAGAUUUCCUGAACACCGAACCCCGGAAGCAUUUUUCACACGAUGGACUCCAACCAUUCGAGGGUCAUGAAAUCAAAGCAGUGGGUCUUGACCAGUAUUUUUAAAAGUGAGAUAGACUCCUAUAGAACAGACAGUGCCAGUGGGCACUGCAUGUAGGAACGGCCCUGCUUCGUGACACCCUUGUCUCAGCGUGCGCUGGGCCCUGCAGUGCCAUAUCAUGUUUAUUUCUCAUUAUCAAAAAAAGUGUCAAAACACUGUGUUGGCAUGUCCAUCUCAUUUCUUCCAGAAAACUGGGGCUCUUUGUGCAAAUUAGUCCACAAAUUUCUCCUCCUCCUUUAUCUCUGCUGCCAGCUCCCCGUCUGCUGCAUGCCAAAGAUGGGCACAGUCUUGGCCAAGCCACUCAAAAACAAAAAACUGGACCCACCACCAACAGGCACUAAAGGUCCUGUUAUGAGCCCACCCCAGGACUCCGGCUGCUUAUUUGUCUGUCAUUUGCACACCCAACAGGGCCACUUAAGUGAUGCUUCAUGGGACAAAGAAGAUCAGCUUCUCCCAAUUUAAAGAACAGAACAGAACAGAGAGAACCCUCGGCCCUGGACAUUCCUUCCGUGCUGGCUCCUGCACAGUGGGCUGGGCGGACAGCACUUUCUCCAACAUAUUCCUUUGACAGUUAUUUGUGUCGCGCCACUCUGUGCCAGACACAGGAAACCAAACCAGAAGCCCUGCCCCCGAUGCCCCUUCUCAGCCCAGGCCCGAGUAGGUGUGAUGAGGACCCACGGCUCCCGCCUGCCUCUCCAGGCCUCUUCCUCCCAGAGGAAGGUGCUGCCCGCUGUGGGUAUGUUCCGGCCGGCCCCACGUGCUCCAGCUCCACCCCAAGCCUGCCAGGAGAGGCCUGGUUCUCCAGGAUGCUGGGAUCCUCGACCAGUCUUACACUGCGGGGAGGGGAGGUCCUCAAGGGUAUUGAGCACCUGCUGUGUACUAGGCACUGCUGUAUCCCGCCAUCCCCGCCAAGGCCCAUCAAGGUCAUUAUUACCACCAUCCCACGAGGCUCAGGGAGGUGAGGGGGCUUUCCUACGCGGUGCUCACAGCCCGGAAAAGCCAGUUCUUUCCCGGAUCUCUCGGACUCUCGCCUCUCUGCUUUUCCCAGAGGGGCUGCAGGAAGAGGGGAAACCCACAGGGGCGGAGCGGAGGAAGGCAAGCCAGGUCUUGUGGGUUCGGGCCCCAAGAGCGUGGGCUGGAUUGCUGAGGUCAGUGGAAGCAGGGUCCUACCGAGAAGGGCCAGUGGCUCUGGCAGCUUCACGGCUGUAUUAGUUGCCCAGGGCUGCCGUGACAAAUUGCCACGGACAGGUGGCCUACAACAACAGGAAUUUGUUCUCUCAGAGUUCUGGAAGCUACAAGUCCAAAAUCAUGGUGUUGGCAGGGCCGCGUUCCCUCCGAAGGCUGAGGGAAGGAUCUUUUCUGUGCCUUUCUAGUAGCUUCUAGGUGUUCCCAGGCAAUCCCCGGCAUUCCUUGGCUGGUAGCCCCAUCACUCCAGUCUCCGUCUCCAUCUUCGCAUGACCUCUUCCUCGCGUGUCUGUGUGUUCACAUCUCCCUCUCCUUUCUUUUCCCAGCUUUAUUGAGGUAUAAUUGGCAAAUAAAAUUCUAAGAUAUUUAAAGUGUCUAUACGUGUACAUUAGGAAAGGAUUCGCCCCAUCUAGUCAGUUAACGCACUCAUCGCCUCACAGGUAUCUUAUUUUUUGGUGAGAACAUUUACAUUCUACUCUCAUCCCAUUUCAAUUAUACGAUCCAAUUACAGUUGUCACCUGUAGUCACCACGCUUCCCGUGAGAUCCUCAGAACUCAUUCACCUUAUAGCUGACAAAUUUCCCUCUUCUUAUAAGGACACGGGUAUUGAAUUUGGGGCCCACCCUACUCCGGUAUGACCUCAUCUUAACAAAUUGCAUCAGCGAAGAAGCUAUUUACAAAUAAGGCCACAUUCUGAGGUUUUGGGUGGACAUGAAUUUUUUAGGGGUAACAAUGACCUCGCGCUUUCCCAGGCGCGGCCUCCCCAGCUGUUUCCCGCUAGUCCAGUCUGCAGGACAGUGUUGGGGACAGCUGUGAGCUCAGAACCCAGGGGGCAUCUCUGACCUUCAGAAGGACUUCCAAUUCAGGUGUUUUCUAGUGACUGUAACCCCAGUUUUUAACAUUCUGGUACUCCAGAAGAAUGUGACUUUAAAAAAUGCUGAGCUACAGGUGUUUUAGUGAUAUAUUUUUUAAAAAUCGGAAACGUUUAUGCUCCCAGAUAUGCUGCAGUGGAAGUUUGGAUCCAGUAAAGGCAAACUUGUCUAGAAAGUCGUCUUCUCUUCCUCCAAAAUCCACGGAGGAGGAAGAGAACCACUAAGUCCUUAUUCUGGUUCAAAGGCUUCCCAGACCAGUGGCAUUCAAACACAACGGCCUGGAAAUUGCUCCAGCGACCGUCCACACCUCCACCUCUCCAGGGGAACGCUGGGGAAGACAGAGACAAACUGGGAACUCUUCCUUUGAGUUAAAACUAGAGCUCGUGAUCAAUUCAAAAAUGGAGUUCCUGCCAACAACAAAAAGAAGUGAAAAAAAAAAUCUCUAAAGUAUCGACUAAGAAAUAGGAUUAUUCGAAGAUGAAGAGCUCAAAAAAUAAGAUUUGUAGGGGCCGGCCUGGUGGCACAUCGGUUGAGUUCGCACGUUCUG